UCAGGUGUCCUAGGCGUAGAGGAACCACACCAAUCCAUCCUGAACUUGGUGGUUAAACUCUACUGCGAUGACGAUACUGUAGGGGAGGUCCUGCAAAAAAAAGUAGCUCGACACCAGGA
This is a non-coding RNA of Nicotiana attenuata, 119 nucleotides long. NCBI's taxonomy places the organism in Eukaryota, Viridiplantae, Streptophyta, Magnoliopsida, Solanales, Solanaceae. The record is from Rfam.